GAUGAACGCUGGCGGCGUGCCUAAUACAUGCAAGUCGAGCGACAGAUGAGGAGCUUGCUCCUCUGACGUUAGCGGCGGACGGGUGAGUAACACGUGGAUAACCUACCUAUAAGACUGGGAUAACUUCGGGAAACCGGAGCUAAUACCGGAUAAUAUAUUGAACCGCAUGGUUCAAUAGUGAAAGACGGUUUUGCUGUCACUUAUAGAUGGAUCCGCGCCGCAUUAGCUAGUUGGUAAGGUAACGGCUUACCAAGGCAACGAUGCGUAGCCGACCUGAGAGGGUGAUCGGCCACACUGGAACUGAGACACGGUCCAGACUCCUACGGGAGGCAGCAGUAGGGAAUCUUCCGCAAUGGGCGAAAGCCUGACGGAGCAACGCCGCGUGAGUGAUGAAGGUCUUCGGAUCGUAAAACUCUGUUAUUGGGGAAGAACAAAUGUGUAAGUAACUAUGCACGUCUUGACGGUACCUAAUCAGAAAGCCACGGCUAACUACGUG
Molecule: ribosomal RNA, 496 nt
Filed under: uncultured bacterium
Lineage: Bacteria
Description: partial 16S ribosomal RNA
Rfam family: Bacterial small subunit ribosomal RNA
Source: RNAcentral